AAAUUGAAGAGUUUGAUCAUGGCUCAGAUUGAACGCUGGCGGCAGGCCUAACACAUGCAAGUCGAACGGUAACAGGAAUCAGCUUGCUGAUUUGCUGACGAGUGGCGGACGGGUGAGUAAUGUCUGGGAAACUGCCUGAUGGAGGGGGAUAACUACUGGAAACGGUAGCUAAUACCGCAUAACGUCGCAAGACCAAAGAGGGGGACCUUCGGGCCUCUUGCCAUCGGAUGUGCCCAGAUGGGAUUAGCUAGUAGGUGGGGUAACGGCUCACCUAGGCGACGAUCCCUAGCUGGUCUGAGAGGAUGACCAGCCACACUGGAACUGAGACACGGUCCAGACUCCUACGGGAGGCAGCAGUGGGGAAUAUUGCACAAUGGGCGCAAGCCUGAUGCAGCCAUGCCGCGUGUAUGAAGAAGGCCUUCGGGUUGUAAAGUACUUUCAGCGGGGAGGAAGGGAGUAAAGUUAAUACCUUUGCUCAUUGACGUUACCCGCAGAAGAAGCACCGGCUAACUCCGUGCCAGCAGCCGCGGUAAUACGGAGGGUGCAAGCGUUAAUCGGAAUUACUGGGCGUAAAGCGCACGCAGGCGGUUUGUUAAGUCAGAUGUGAAAUCCCCGGGCUCAACCUGGGAACUGCAUCUGAUACUGGCAAGCUUGAGUCUCGUAGAGGGGGGUAGAAUUCCAGGUGUAGCGGUGAAAUGCGUAGAGAUCUGGAGGAAUACCGGUGGCGAAGGCGGCCCCCUGGACGAAGACUGACGCUCAGGUGCGAAAGCGUGGGGAGCAAACAGGAUUAGAUACCCUGGUAGUCCACGCCGUAAACGAUGUCGACUUGGAGGUUGUGCCCUUGAGGCGUGGCUUCCGGAGCUAACGCGUUAAGUCGACCGCCUGGGGAGUACGGCCGCAAGGUUAAAACUCAAAUGAAUUGACGGGGGCCCGCACAAGCGGUGGAGCAUGUGGUUUAAUUCGAUGCAACGCGAAGAACCUUACCUGGUCUUGACAUCCACAGAACUUUCCAGAGAUGGAUUGGUGCCUUCGGGAACUGUGAGACAGGUGCUGCAUGGCUGUCGUCAGCUCGUGUUGUGAAAUGUUGGGUUAAGUCCCGCAACGAGCGCAACCCUUAUCCUUUGUUGCCAGCGGUCCGGCCGGGAACUCAAAGGAGACUGCCAGUGAUAAACUGGAGGAAGGUGGGGAUGA
This 1191-nucleotide ribosomal RNA is filed under the name Escherichia coli. RNAcentral describes it as "bacterial SSU rRNA". It matches the Rfam family "Bacterial small subunit ribosomal RNA", at positions 1 to 1182 of the family's 1533-position model. The record is from RNAcentral. Lineage: Bacteria; Pseudomonadati; Pseudomonadota; Gammaproteobacteria; Enterobacterales; Enterobacteriaceae.